UGGAGAGUUUGAUCCUGGCUCAGAUUGAACGCUGGCGGCAGGCCUAACACAUGCAAGUCGAACGGUAACAGGAAGCAGCUUGCUGCUUUGCUGACGAGUGGCGGACGGGUGAGUAAUGUCUGGGAAACUGCCUGAUGGAGGGGGAUAACUACUGGAAACGGUAGCUAAUACCGCAUAACGUCGCAAGACCAAAGAGGGGGACCUUCGGGCCUCUUGCCAUCGGAUGUGCCCAGAUGGGAUUAGCUAGUAGGUGGGGUAACGGCUCACCUAGGCGACGAUCCCUAGCUGGUCUGAGAGGAUGACCAGCCACACUGGAACUGAGACACGGUCCAGACUCCUACGGGAGGCAGCAGUGGGGAAUAUUGCACAAUGGGCGCAAGCCUGAUGCAGCCAUGCCGCGUGUAUGAAGAAGGCCUUCGGGUUGUAAAGUACUUUCAGCGGGGAGGAAGGCGACAGGGUUAAUAACCCUGUCGAUUGACGUUACCCGCAGAAGAAGCACCGGCUAACUCCGUGCCAGCAGCCGCGGUA
RNAcentral lists this ribosomal RNA (528 nucleotides) under Enterobacter hormaechei. RNAcentral's name for it is "bacterial SSU rRNA". It matches the Rfam family "Bacterial small subunit ribosomal RNA", at positions 1 to 522 of the family's 1533-position model. Lineage: Bacteria; Pseudomonadati; Pseudomonadota; Gammaproteobacteria; Enterobacterales; Enterobacteriaceae. The record is from RNAcentral.